UGUGAAAUCGUCCGGCUUAACCGGACGGCGUGCAGGGGAGACUGCAUUCCUAGGGACCGGGAGGAGUCAGAAGUAUUCCGGGGGGAGCGGUAAAAUGCUAUAAUCCCUGGAAGACUACCUGUGGCGAAGGCGUCUGACUAGAACGGAUCCGACUGUGAGGGACGAAAGCCAGGGGAGCAAACCGGAUUAGAUACCCGAGUAGUCCUGGCCGUAAACGCUGCGAGCUAGGUAUUGCGUAUUCUCCAUGAAUAUGCAGUAUCGGAGCGAAGGUGUUAAGCUCGCCGCCUGGGAAGUACGGUCGCAAGACUGAAACUUUAAGGAAUUGGCGGGGGAGCACUACAAGGGGUGGAGCGUGCGGUUUAAUCUAACUCAACGCAGAGAAUCUCACUAGAGGCGACGGCAGGAUGAAGGUCAGUCUGAAGGGCUUACCUGACAAGCCGAGAGGUGGUGCAUGGCCGCCGUCAGCUCGUGCCGUGAGGUGUCCAGUUAAGUCUGGCAACGAGCGAGACCUGUAUCCGCUAUUGCUAACAGCUCUUUCGAGGACUGAGCACAUUGCGGGGACUGCCUUGGAAACAAGGAGGAAGGUGCAGGCAACGGUAGGUCUGUAUGCCCCGAAUCCUCUAGGCUACACGCGCGCAACAAUGGCCGGGACAAUGGGUCGCGACCCCGAGAGGGGAAGCUAAUCCUCGAAACCCGGUCUUAGUACAGAUUGAGGCUUGUAACUC
Molecule: ribosomal RNA, 725 nt
Filed under: uncultured euryarchaeote
Lineage: Archaea; Methanobacteriati; Methanobacteriota
Description: bacterial SSU rRNA
Rfam family: Archaeal small subunit ribosomal RNA
Source: RNAcentral